CCUACGGGAGGCAGCAGUGAGGAAUAUUGCACAAUGGGGGAAACCCUGAUGCAGCGACGCCGCGUGAGUGAAGAAGUAUUUCGGUAUGUAAAGCUCUAUCAGCAGGAACGAGACAAGACGGUACCUGACUAAGAAGCCCCGGCUAACUACGUGCCAGCAGCCGCGGUAAUACGUAGGGGGCAAGCGUUAUCCGGAAUCACUGGGUGGAAAGGGAGCGUAGACGGCUGAGCAAGCCUGAAGUGAAAGGCGGGGGCCCAACCCCCGGACUGCUUUGGGAACUGUACGGCUGGAGUGCAGGAGAGGUAAGUGGAAUUCCUAGUGUAGCGGUGAAAUGCGUAGAUAUUAGGAGGAACACCAGUGGCGAAGGCGGCUUACUGGACUGUAACUGACGUUGAGGCUCGAAAGCGUGGGGAGCAAACAGGAUUAGAUACCCGUGUAGUC
RNAcentral lists this ribosomal RNA (441 nucleotides) under uncultured bacterium. RNAcentral describes it as "partial 16S ribosomal RNA". It matches the Rfam family "Bacterial small subunit ribosomal RNA", at positions 338 to 795 of the family's 1533-position model. The record is from RNAcentral.